RNAcentral lists this small nucleolar RNA (69 nucleotides) under Drosophila yakuba. RNAcentral describes it as "snoRNA:GE27212". Lineage: Eukaryota; Metazoa; Arthropoda; Insecta; Diptera; Drosophilidae. The record is from RNAcentral.
CGGCUAGCAGGUAAAUCCUGCUCCCAGGUGUAGUGGGUCGCUGCCAUGUAGAAAUUUGACUCCUGACGC